This 793-nucleotide long non-coding RNA is filed under the name Olea europaea (common olive). Its description in RNAcentral is "long non-coding RNA (OEUR_LNC010950)". The record is from RNAcentral. Lineage: Eukaryota; Viridiplantae; Streptophyta; Magnoliopsida; Lamiales; Oleaceae.
CCAUCUUCUUCUUCUUCAAUCUCUCCCAAUCCUUUUACCCCCAAAAUCAAAACCACAUCCAACCAGUUGGCGGUCAACGGCACCACCGAGGAGGCUUUUUUCAGCUUUGAAGACAAUUUCUCCUCAAUAGCAUACAAAACAAGUAGGAUAAAGGCACCAAAUGUGCUAGAAAAUCAGCAAAAAAUCCUACAAGUUGCAAUGUCCAAGUCACCGAGCUCUAAACAAAUGCAGAAAACUGCAAAAUAGACUAUGUUGACCAAAUUCAAAUUCAAAAAUUAAUCAACCAGCACCUCUACACACACAAUACAUAUAUAUUUUGCAAUUUGGAAAACCCCAAGAACACACAGUAAAAGAGGUUCACCGAAAACCCCAAGAACAGAAGUAGCUAAACCUUGGCUGGGCGUCUCAAAGUAGAAGAAAAACAAUCGAACACAAGAAACCUGAAAACAAACCAAAGCUGGAAUCGGAUAGAAAAUCAGGCUAUCCCAAAUCUGAAACUCACCAAAAACUGCUAGCUGAACUGAAAUAAGCCAAAGCAGAAAGUCUGUAUACCAUCAAAAUGAAAACCCAUCGAUUUAUUCAUCAUUUCCAUCUUCUUCUUCGCUGCCACUUUUGACCCCGAAAGUAAUUCCUUCCAUGGCUGCAACAUCACAGGAGGGUCCUUCUUCUAUUGUGGCUACUGAUGUUGUAGAAUUAGGUUUGCAUGCAUCAAUGAAUGAUAUUGAAAUGAUGGAGAUAUGAUCAAUUGGGGUUAGGGGACUGGGAGAGAUUGAAGGAGGAGAUGGGGUUUUUG